This 560-nucleotide ribosomal RNA is filed under the name Roseicyclus sp. RNAcentral's name for it is "bacterial SSU rRNA". It matches the Rfam family "Bacterial small subunit ribosomal RNA", at positions 53 to 660 of the family's 1533-position model. Lineage: Bacteria; Pseudomonadati; Pseudomonadota; Alphaproteobacteria; Rhodobacterales; Roseobacteraceae. The record is from RNAcentral.
CCAUGCAGUCGAGCGAGAUCUUCGGAUCUAGCGGCGGACGGGUGAGUAACGCGUGGGAACGUGCCCUUCUCUACGGAAUAGUCCCGGGAAACUGGGUUUAAUACCGUAUACGCCCUUCGGGGGAAAGAUUUAUCGGAGAAGGAUCGGCCCGCGUUGGAUUAGGUAGUUGGUGGGGUAAUGGCCUACCAAGCCGACGAUCCAUAGCUGGUUUGAGAGGAUGAUCAGCCACACUGGGACUGAGACACGGCCCAGACUCCUACGGGAGGCAGCAGUGGGGAAUCUUAGACAAUGGGCGCAAGCCUGAUCUAGCCAUGCCGCGUGAGUGACGAAGGCCCUAGGGUCGUAAAGCUCUUUCACCAGGGAUGAUAAUGACAGUACCUGGAGAAGAAACCCCGGCUAACUCCGUGCCAGCAGCCGCGGUAAUACGGAGGGGGUUAGCGUUGUUCGGAAUUACUGGGCGUAAAGCGCGCGUAGGCGGGCUGUUAAGUCGGGGGUGAAAUCCCGGGGCUCAACCCCGGAACUGCCCUCGAUACUGGCAGCCUAGAGUUCGAGAGAGGUGA